Long non-coding RNA from Ostrea edulis (European flat oyster), 953 nucleotides. RefSeq lists it as uncharacterized. The record is from RefSeq and is a predicted model, not a curated record. Lineage: Eukaryota; Metazoa; Mollusca; Bivalvia; Ostreida; Ostreidae. The transcript is spliced from 3 exons.
CAUCACUUGUACAUAAAGUGAAAACAAUUAGAUGAUGCAUGAUCACAGCUGUGAGGUUAACGUUUCAGCACCCAUCACGACGUAGGGCCUCCGCUUUAAAGCAAAUAUGGAGCAUCAACAACGUAAAUCAACGGUGAGCAUAAAGAGGAAUGCAGCGAAAUAGAGAAUCCGGGUUAUGCUGCUUGCAGCAGUGGCUGGUAUGAACAAGAUUGUGAAAUGAGAUGUAGCAGUAAUUGUAUAACACCUCAACUGUGUGAUCACGUGACCGUAUCGUGUGUUGGAUGAUGUGCUACUGGAUGGAUGAAUGGUACAUGUGAUUCUGGUUGGUAUUUCAUCCUAAUUCUUUACGUUUUUGUAUUUCAUUUAGUUCAUAUCUAUAUUUAAGUGGAUACAACAUACUAUGGAUAUCAAAUAUUUAUGAUAAAUCACUUCAUUAAUUUGCCUAUAUUACCUUCUCUGAUGAUGUAGAAUUUAAUCAUGAUCUUCAUAUACUAACAUACAGCUGAAAUGUAUUAAAACAACAUCUUUUCAGCACAACCAUUGUCAUCUUUAAUGUUUUCUUCUUUAAAGCAGUUUUUCCCUUAUUCUUGCCCUUCUUAGUUUUCAUAUAUUUGUAUUGACUUUAUUGAAUCAAAUCACUUGUCCCUGAAUGCAUAUGGGUGUGUGUAUGUAUGUAGAUGUAUUUGUGUAUUUAUAUGUAUUGUAAUUUGUGUUCUGUGCUUGGUAUAUUUUGAAUUACAUAUAAUUUAGAAAUGUACAAUACACUAAUCAACUCAACUUCAACUUAUUAUUGUUAUCAUUAUCAUCAGUAUCAAUUUACCAAUUAGCCUGUGGAAGUCUUGUUUUAAUUCCUUAUUGAUAAGUGAGGAAUUCCUUUGGUAUUUCAAUUAUUUUCUAUUAAGGGAAUGUUUCAUUAUUUUUCGCAGCAAAAGCAACGUCUUGAUAAUAUUUCA